This 679-nucleotide ribosomal RNA is filed under the name Eucryptorrhynchus brandti. Its description in RNAcentral is "12S ribosomal RNA". Lineage: Eukaryota; Metazoa; Arthropoda; Insecta; Coleoptera; Curculionidae. The record is from RNAcentral.
UUGAUAUCGCAGUAAAAAGUAUUAUAUAUUUAAGAGAUUAAGAUAUAGUUAUAAAUUUUAGUAUAAACUAAGUUUGUGCCAGCAGUUGCGGUUAUACAGACUAUGCAACAGUAAAUUUUAGGAAAUAGUAAAAUUUUUAUUUUGAGAGUAGAUAAAGAAAUUUAUUAGGUGAAAUUUUAAAUUUUUGUAAAUUUUUAUUUUGAAACUAAGAAAUUCUUAUAAUAAACUAGGAUUAGAUACCCUAUUAUAAAGAAAGUAAGAAAAAAAUUCCGAAUUAGUAAUAGUUAUGUUCUUGAAAAUUAAAAAAGUUGGCGGUGUUUUAGUCUAUUCAGAGGAACCUGUCCUGUAAUUGAUAAUCCACGAUUUUAUCUACUUAGUUUUUUAAUUUACAUAUCGCCGUAGGUUGAAUAUUUUUUUAGAAUUUUAAUGUUCAGAAUUUUUAUUAAAAGAAAGUCAGGUCAAGAUGUAGUUUAUAGCUAAGAAGAGAUGGGUUACAUUAAUUUAAAUUAUAUGAAUAAAUUUUUUUAAUAAAAUUUUGAAGGUGGAUUUGAAGGUAAUUUUAAAUAAUUUUUUAAGAUGAUUUUAGCUCUAAAAUAUGCACAUAUCGCCGGUCGCUUUCACCAUAAAGUGAAAUAAGUCGUAACAUAGUAGAUGUACUGGAAAGUGUCUCUAGAAAGAA